AUCGUGCCUCACAAAACUAAUAACUGUUUUCACGAGAAAAACGAAAUAAUAUAUUAAAUAGUUAUUUGGGAGCGAGAAUGUGUUGCUAUCGAAUCCCACCCAAAACUUCCGGCCGUUGGAUCUGGAGUGAAAUGACGAACAUCAGCGGAAAAAUUGCCAACGGGAUUUUCUGAACU
This 176-nucleotide long non-coding RNA is filed under the name Aedes aegypti (yellow fever mosquito). RNAcentral describes it as "lncRNA AAEL022275". The record is from RNAcentral. Lineage: Eukaryota; Metazoa; Arthropoda; Insecta; Diptera; Culicidae.